Molecule: long non-coding RNA, 288 nt
Filed under: Elaeis guineensis (African oil palm)
Lineage: Eukaryota; Viridiplantae; Streptophyta; Magnoliopsida; Arecales; Arecaceae
Description: long non-coding RNA (EGUI_LNC038018)
Source: RNAcentral
CCGACCGCCACACUGGUGGCCCAUGCAGGUCUCUCAAUAUAUAGUGUCUCCUCAGUAAAGAUCUAAGCUGAAGGGGGAAUUUGUUUGGAGUAGACUGUGGUUCUCUGAUUGGGGGGCCUACUGUUGCAGAGGGAGUGAACUUUAGUCUCACAUCGGUUGUUCAGUCAGACAAUCUUAUCUUAUUAGGUCUGGAGCCCCCUUCUCACGUGAGGCACCAUUUUCAAAGACAAAGCCAUGCGUUCUCAUGCGCGUUAGGGGCCAUAGCCUAUCCCGUAUGGGUCUGGGUCC